RNAcentral lists this ribosomal RNA (460 nucleotides) under uncultured bacterium. RNAcentral's name for it is "partial 16S ribosomal RNA". It matches the Rfam family "Bacterial small subunit ribosomal RNA", at positions 338 to 795 of the family's 1533-position model. The record is from RNAcentral.
CCUACGGGUGGCAGCAGUGAGGAAUAUUGGUCAAUGGACGAGAGUCUGAACCAGCCAAGUAGCGUGAAGGAUGACUGCCCUAUGGGUUUUAAACUUCUUUUAUAUGGGAAUAAAAUGUUCCACGUGUGGGAUUUUGUAUGUACCAUAUGAAUACGGAUCGGCUAACCCCGUUCCAGCCGCCGCCGUUAUUCGGGGGAUACGAGGGUUUGCCGGAUUUUGUGGGUUUAAAGGGGGUGUAAGUGGAUUGUUACGUUAGUUGUGAAAGUUUGCGGCUGAACCGUAACAUUGCAGUUGAUACUAGCAGUCUUGAGUACAGUAGAGGUGAGCGGAAUUCGUGGUGUAGCGGUGAAAUGCUUAGAUAUCACGAAGAACACCGAUGGCGAAGGCAGUUCACUGGACUGCAACUGACGCUGAGGCUCGAAAGUGUGGGGAUCAAACAGGAUUAGAUACCCGGGUAGUC